RNAcentral lists this ribosomal RNA (496 nucleotides) under uncultured Flavobacteriaceae bacterium. RNAcentral describes it as "bacterial SSU rRNA". It matches the Rfam family "Bacterial small subunit ribosomal RNA", at positions 552 to 1050 of the family's 1533-position model. Lineage: Bacteria; Pseudomonadati; Bacteroidota; Flavobacteriia; Flavobacteriales; Flavobacteriaceae. The record is from RNAcentral.
CAUUGGGUUUAAAGGGUCCGUAGGCGGGCUAUUAAGUCAGAGGUGAAAUUGUGCAGCUCAACUGUAGAACUGCCUUUGAUACUGAUAGUCUUGAGUUAUGGUGAGGUAGCCGGAACAUGUGGUGUAGCGGUGAAAUGCAUAGAUAUCACAUAGAACGCCGAUUGCGAAGGCAGGUUACCAACCAUAUACUGACGCUGAUGGACGAAAGCGUGGGGAGCGAACGGGAUUAGAUACCCCGGUAGUCCACGCCGUAAACGAUGGAUACUAGCUGUUGGGUUUUCGGACUCAGCGGCCAAGCGAAAGUGAUAAGUAUCCCACCUGGGGAGUACGUUCGCAAGAAUGAAACUCAAAGGAAUUGACGGGGGCCCGCACAAGCGGUGGAGCAUGUGGUUUAAUUCGAAGCAACGCGCAGAACCUUACCAACCCUUGACAUCCUGUGCUACAUCCAGAGAUGGAUGGUUCCCUUCGGGGACGCAGUGACAGGUGCUGCAUGGCU